CUUGGUCAUUUAGAGGAAGUAAAAGUCGUAACAAGGUUUCCGUAGGUGAACCUGCGGAAGGAUCAUUACAAGUGAGGCUACCGAACGUUGGAAACAGCGGUUAGGAGCUUACACCCACCCGUGUUUACAUACUAUUGUUGCUUUGGCGGGCCGUGGCCUCCACUGCGGGCUCUGCUCGUGUGUGCCCGCCAGAGAACCAAACUCUGAAUGUUAGUGAUGUCUGAGUACUAUCUAAUAGUUAAAACUUUCAACAACGGAUCUCUUGGUUCUGGCAUCGAUGAAGAACGCAGCGAAAUGCGAUAAGUAAUGUGAAUUGCAGAAUUCAGUGAAUCAUCGAAUCUUUGAACGCACAUUGCGCCCUGUGGUAUUCCGCAGGGCAUGCCUGUUCGAGCGUCAUUUAACCACUCACGCCUAGCGUGGUAUUGGGGCACGCGGUCUCCGCGGCCCUCAAAAUUAGUGGCGGCGCCGUCUGGCUCUAAGCGUAGUAAUUCUCUCGCUAUAGGGUCCAGGUGGUUACUUGUCAGAAUCCCCCACUUUUACAGGUUGACCUCGGAUCAGGUAGGGAUACUCGCUGAACUUAAGCAUAUCAAUAAGCGGAGGA
Molecule: ribosomal RNA, 601 nt
Filed under: uncultured Phialocephala
Lineage: Eukaryota; Fungi; Ascomycota; Leotiomycetes; Helotiales
Description: eukaryotic LSU rRNA
Rfam family: 5.8S ribosomal RNA (bases 243-396)
Source: RNAcentral